UAGGGGAACUACGUCGCCCUGAUCCUCAUACCAGAUGAGGUACGUAGGCAGGAGAUGAGCUGAUCUCUCCGGGCGCCCUUUUUCUUUUUCAACCCUUUUGGUCAUAACCACCCUUGCGUGUGUUUUGGUUCGGAUGCUGAUGUAAGUCCAGUGAUUGGCAUUCGGGCUCCACGUUCGCCCUUUUGUUUUGUUUGUGUGAGUUGUUUCUCCUUUUCUGGUUGGAGUCCGACGUAAGUCCAGCGAUUGGCAGUUGGUUUCCUG
This 261-nucleotide long non-coding RNA is filed under the name Lathyrus oleraceus (garden pea). RNAcentral's name for it is "Pisum sativum (pea) long non-coding RNA (PSAT_LNC028618)". Lineage: Eukaryota; Viridiplantae; Streptophyta; Magnoliopsida; Fabales; Fabaceae. The record is from RNAcentral.